CCUACGGGAGGCAGCAGUGGGGAAUUUUGGACAAUGGGCGCAAGCCUGAUCCAGCUAUUCCGCGUGUGGGAAGACGGCCUUCGGGUUGUAAACCACUUUUGUAGAGAACGAAAAGUCUGUUGAUAAUACCGAUAGAUGAUGACGGUACUCUAAGAAUAAGCACCGGCUAACUACGUGCCAGCAGCCGCGGUAAUACGUAGGGUGCGAGCGUUAAUCGGAAUUACUGGGCGUAAAGGGUGUGCAGGCGGUUUUGCAAGAUGGAUGUGAAAGCCCCGGGCUUAACCUGGGAAAGCCAUUAAUGACUGCAAGACUAGAGUGCGUCAGAGGGGGGUGGAAUUCCAGGUGUAGCAGUGAAAUGCGUAGAUAUUUGGAAGAACACCGAUGGCGAAGGCAGCCCCCUGGGACGCAACUGACGCUCAUACACGAAAGCGUGGGGAGCAAACAGGAUUAGAUACCCGUGUAGUC
RNAcentral lists this ribosomal RNA (465 nucleotides) under uncultured bacterium. Its description in RNAcentral is "partial 16S ribosomal RNA". It matches the Rfam family "Bacterial small subunit ribosomal RNA", at positions 338 to 795 of the family's 1533-position model. The record is from RNAcentral.